This 372-nucleotide ribosomal RNA is filed under the name uncultured prokaryote. RNAcentral describes it as "partial 16S ribosomal RNA". The record is from RNAcentral.
GCCUCAAUCUCAUCUCUCUUUUUGCGUUCUGCUUCAAUAUCUGGUUGAACGGCGUCGCGUCGUAACCCAGCUUGGUAAGUUGGAUUAAGCACUCCGUGGACAGAUUUGUCAUUGUGAGCAUUUUCAUCCCGAAGUUGCGGCUCAUUCUGAUUCUGAACAGCUUCUUGGGAAGUAGCGACAGCUUGGUUUUUAGUGAGUUGUUCCAUUCUUUAGCUCCUAGACCUUUAGCAGCAAGGUCCAUAUCUGACUUUUUGUUAACGUAUUUAGCCACAUAGAAACCAACAGCCAUAUAACUGGUAGCUUUAAGCGGCUCACCUUUAGCAUCAACAGGCCACAACCAACCAGAACGUGAAAAAGCGUCCUGCGUGUAGC